AUACGGAGGGGGCUAGCGUUGUUCGGAUUUACUGGGCGUAAAGCGCGCGUAGGCGGUAUAUCAAGUUAGGCGUGAAAGCCCCGGGCUCAACCCGGGAACUGCGCUUAUUACUGAUAAACUAGAGUCCGGGAGAGGGUGGCGGAAUUCCCAGUGUAGAGGUGAAAUUCGUAGAUAUUGGGAAGAACACCAGUUGCGAAGGCGGUCACCUGGACCGGUACUGACGCUGAGGUGCGAAAGCGUGGGGAGCAAACAGGAUUAGAUACCCCAGUAGUCC
Molecule: ribosomal RNA, 274 nt
Filed under: uncultured bacterium
Lineage: Bacteria
Description: partial 16S ribosomal RNA
Rfam family: Bacterial small subunit ribosomal RNA
Source: RNAcentral